AACAUCGCGCACCUGCGGGAACCUGCGGAGGGAUCAUUAUCGAGUUUUGACUGGGUUGUAGCUGGCCUUCCGAGGCAUGUGCACGCCCUGCUCAUCCACUCUACACCUGUGCACAAAUUGUAGGUUUCAGAUGGCGUAGCGUGCCUUUGUGGGGCUCGUGAAGCAGUCUGUGCCUGCGUUUACUACAAACUCUUGCAUGUAACAGAAUGUGUAUUGCGAUGUAACGCAUCUAUAUACAAC
This 240-nucleotide unclassified non-coding RNA is filed under the name soil metagenome. RNAcentral describes it as "partial contains 5.8S ribosomal RNA, internal transcribed spacer 2, and large subunit ribosomal RNA". The record is from RNAcentral.